Long non-coding RNA from Mauremys mutica (yellowpond turtle), 713 nucleotides. RefSeq lists it as uncharacterized. NCBI's taxonomy places the organism in Eukaryota, Metazoa, Chordata, Testudines, Geoemydidae. The transcript is spliced from 3 exons. The record is from RefSeq and is a predicted model, not a curated record.
GAAUGGAGGGGAGCUCAGAUAGGGCUCUGGUCUCCCAAUGCGGCUCUGGCCUCCCUGGCCCCCCAGAUGGGCCUAACUGAGGGGGGUCCUGUUGUCUGUACCUGCAAGACCUGUCUUGGACUGUGUUCCUGUCAUCUAAAUAAACCUUCUGUUUUACUGGCUGGCUGAGAGUCAUGGUGAAUUGCAGGAAGCCGGGGGUGCAGGGCCUUGACUUCCCCCCACUCCGUGACACCAUGACACUGGGAUUUUUAUAGCAGUAUCCAUUCAGAGGGAGAUCUACAUAAAGAUACUAUGUACAGAUGCAAAAAUGGAUAACCCUUUCCUAAUAAUUACUGAGAUGCUACAGCAAGGAGCACCCAUCUGCUGAAGGCACCAUCAGAUGAUGACUGGAUGUUCAGCUUGUAGAAUUUUGAAGGUGAGGGAAAGCAGAUGGAGCUCUUUGCACCCUGUCAAGGAGAUCAGAUAAUCCAGGCCCCCUUGGCCAGAACGGGGAUACAAGAAUUACGAGUGCUGCUUCUCUCCUGACCUUCUCCAGCAUUCUGAUAAGUCACACUUGUUCCUGAAGAGUCACCUGCUUCCAGUGGGAUGAAAGGAAAUAUUUUAAGGGGACCAGUGUCAUCUUUGCCUGAAUCUUACCUACUGUCACUCACUAAGUACUGAGAGUGUUGUACACACUUUACCAGCCUGCACUUGGGAACUCUCAUGUCCUUCCU